UACAGAGGUCCCAAGCGUUGUUCGGAUUCACUGGGCGUAAAGGGCGCGUAGGCGGCCACUGCAAGUCAGUUGUGAAAUCUCCGGGCUUAACUCGGAAAGGUCAACUGAUACUGCAGGGCUAGAGUGCAGAAGGGGCAACUGGAAUUCUCGGUGUAACGGUGAAAUGCGUAGAUAUCGAGAGGAACACCUGCGGCGAAGGCGGGUUGCUGGGCUGACACUGACGCUGAAGCGCGAAAGCCAGGGGAGCGAACGGG
This 254-nucleotide ribosomal RNA is filed under the name uncultured bacterium. RNAcentral's name for it is "partial 16S ribosomal RNA". It matches the Rfam family "Bacterial small subunit ribosomal RNA", at positions 524 to 776 of the family's 1533-position model. The record is from RNAcentral.